UCCACUGUUGCGUUUUUCAUACGUACGUAUACGCACGUAAAACUUUAAAUCCGUUUAAAUGUUACUUAUGAAAUAACCAAAUAAAUAAAGUAACAGAAUUUAGUGUUCCGCAAGUUUUAGUAUCCAUUUGUUAACUUGCUUGUAAAAUAUUUUAAAAAAUAGAAUGAUUCAAAGUUUUACGUGCGUGUACGUGCGUACGAAAAACGCAACAGUGGA
Molecule: non-coding RNA, 216 nt
Organism: Paramuricea clavata
Lineage: Eukaryota; Metazoa; Cnidaria; Anthozoa; Malacalcyonacea; Plexauridae
Source: the annotation of a GenBank genome assembly